GGAAAUGUCCAUGCCUCCAUGGUAGCGGGUGGUUGGUUGGAAGUGCGUGCCGAAUGGCUAUCUUUUCAUCUUAGCUGUCUCUGUCCCUCGCCGCAUCUUGUCCUCAGCAGCAUUGACUUCACCAGAGCGAGCAAUGGAGGAGCAGAAGAAUCUGGUUCUGUUCGCCGGCGGCGAGGAGGAGACUGAGAAGGAGAAGGCGGGGCUCGACUUCGAGCCUUCGGAGGACGAGCUGGUGCUGCACUUCCUGCGUCCGCAGCUGCGUGGGUUCGCUCCCCGGGUGCCGGGCGCCGUGGUGGAGGCGGACCCCUGCGCGGCGACGCCGUGGGAGCUGCUGGCGCGGCACGGGCUCCUCCAGCGCGGGCACGGGUACUUCUUCGCGGCGCGGCGGCGGGGCAACGCCGUGGUGCGGCGCACCCCGGCGGGCGGCGGCGGCUCGUGGAUGCACAGCGGGAACCGGGAGCACGGGCGGUCGGUGACGGCGCUGGGCGUGGUGGCGCGCUGGUCCAGGACCAGGUACGGCUUCUACGUGCUCGGCGGGGCGGAGGGGCGGCGGAGCACCGGGUGGGUGAUGACGGAGUACGAGAUCACGGACCCGCUGUGCUACCGCCGCGCGGACGAGGGCGCGGAGGACGAGUACUGGGUGCUCUGCCACGUCCGCCGGAGCUGCAGGACCAACGCCGGCAAGCCGUCCAGCCGGCGGCGCUCGCUUGUUCUUGCUAGCAUCUAGCUAGCUGGGCACCUGUCCACCGCGCGACCGGCGAGCUCGGUGAUAGUAGUAGAUCUCAGGCAAUGGAUGGUUGACCUUGUUGGAUUCGACCACUCCAUCUUUGACGUGUGUGUGGACUGUGGAUGGAUGGUUAAAGAAAGGAAUCAAGAAAAUACUAAACCUCUGCGGCGCCUCUGCUCCGAUCUUGGCCUGCAAGUGAACAAUGC
Lolium rigidum is the source of this 933-nucleotide RNA transcript. It is a transcript of the gene named NAC domain-containing protein 46-like, with no coding region annotated. The record is from RefSeq and is a predicted model, not a curated record. The transcript has 2 exons. NCBI's taxonomy places the organism in Eukaryota, Viridiplantae, Streptophyta, Magnoliopsida, Poales, Poaceae.